AAGCUCGUAGUUGAAUUUCGGGAUCAAUUUGCUGGUCGUGCCUCUGGUACGUACUGGUAUUAUUGGUUUCUCCCUUCUGACGAACCAUGAUGUCAUUAAUUUGAUGUCGUGGAGAAUCAGGACUGUUACUUUGAAAAAAUUAGAGUGUUUAAAGCAGGCAUUAGCUUGAAUACAUUAGCAUGGAAUAAUGAAAUAGGACGUUUGAUCCUAUUUUGUUGGUUUCUAGGAUUGACGUAAUGAUUAAUAGGGAUAGUUGGG
RNAcentral lists this ribosomal RNA (258 nucleotides) under uncultured Glomus. RNAcentral describes it as "partial 18S ribosomal RNA". It matches the Rfam family "Eukaryotic small subunit ribosomal RNA", at positions 624 to 886 of the family's 1831-position model. The record is from RNAcentral. Lineage: Eukaryota; Fungi; Glomeromycota; Glomeromycetes; Glomerales; Glomeraceae.